UGAGUCUAUGAUCAUGUUCCUCAAUUGUUUCACCCCAGACUAGGAUAUCGUCCAUGACAUUAAUCACGCCUUCCAGGCCUUCAAUCAUCUGUGCAAUUGUCCUUUGGAAAACUUCAGAAGCCGAUGACACCCCAAAAGGAAGACGAAGAAAUCUGUAUCUCCCAAUUGGCGUGUUAAAUGUACAAAGCUUUGAGCUCUCAUCAUCAAGUUUGAUCUGCCAAAAUCCUUGAUUUGCGUCAAGCACAGAGAAUAUCUUUGCAUUUGGCAUGCUGGAAACCACCUCUUCCACUGUGCGUAAUGGGUAGUGUUCGCGUUUAAUUACUUUGUUUAGGUCUUGCGGAUCAAUACAUAUCCUAAUCUUUUGUGGUUUCACCACUGUGACCAUACUGUUUACCCAAUCAGUUGGCUCUGACUGUCUGGCAAUUACACCCAUUUGUUCCAUUUUGUGCAGUUUCUUUCAGUGCGAGUGGAACUUUUCUUGGAGGAUGUAUAACUGGUGUGGCUUUGGGAUCAAUCUGAAUGUGGUAAUGUCCUGGUAAACAUCAAAGACCAGUAAAUAAAUCCUCAAAAUCUUUCAAUAGAUGAGCUUUAGCUUUCCCAACGGCGACAUCUGGUGGCCAGAAUAGUUCUGUGACAUAUGCGUCGAUACUUUCACUUGGACCCUGAGCUCUCGUGAAGAACAAAUGGCGAAUGUCCGGUAGAGGGAAAUAACAGGCUCGCUGUGAACGCUCGUCCUGCAUUGACUCGCUUCAUCUCGACGAGAGCAAUAAAGAUGUCUGGCAGAGGAAAGGGCGGCUUUGAUCAGUAAUCCUCUUCAAACACGUGAAAGUUUUGGCCGCAGCACCUUACGGUGUUUGCGGCCGCUAAGUACAAACAUUUGAAAGUAUGGCUUCCAGUAUGUCUUUUCGAGAGUCAUAUAAUAACCGUUUUCUCAAAUACUGGGCGAAAAUCUCCUUCAUAGGAUCUGGAUCUGCUCCAAGCAGAGAUGAGGUGGCAGAAAAGCUUUUUAUGUCCCAGUCGGUGAGUGGGGAAGACAUUUUCUCCUUCAUCAGCCUUCCAAACCGGAAAGACUUUGAACUUUGUUUUCGUAACGAAAGAUCAUUACGAGUUUUCAUGAACAUUUACAAUUCAAACAAAGAACAAUGGAGAGAUUUCGAAAUAUUCUCACCUUUGCAGUUUGACAUAAAAACAGUGAUUGUGAAAUUUUGGACAGGAAGAAUUCCAGAUGAAGAUGUGGAGCUGUAUUUACGUCGCUUCUGUGACAUUGUAAAACCAGCCAUUAAGCCUGUGGAUCGGUUCGGCAUUUGGUAUGGGAUUAGGAAAUAUCAAGUGAGAAUUAAGAAAGACCUCAACAACCAAGACAUAGGGAUUCCAAACAACAUCUCACUGGGUCCGUACAAUGGGAAAAUUAUCUACCAAGGCCAAAUUUCCAGAUGUUAUACAUGUCAAGCGACUGAUCACAUUGCUAAAGAAUGUAAGGAGGUGAAAUGUUGGCAAUGUAGCAGUUUUGGACAUAAAGCCAAAGAUUGUAACAACACUGCAAUUUGUAAUUUAUGUGGAACUGUGGGUUACACUUUCUUUAUGUGCCCUAACUCUUAUGCUAACCGUUCUAAGACAAGCUUUGGCACAGAAGUAAAGGAAAACCUUUUUGAAAGUGUACAACCGUUAUCAACGACUGAGGCUGGGGAAAAAAAUAUUCCACCUGAAGCCAAUUCUAGUAAUGAACCUGAAUUAUCACAGACAAAGGAUAAACAACAAAAUGAAAUGGAUCAAACUGAAAGCCUUUUUAUUAGUACAACUUUGGAGGAAAAUGGGACUGUUACAGAAUGUAAAAAUGUUGAAGAUUUAAAGCAAACUGGUAAUAACGACAGCAGUGAAACAUCAUCAACAGAGGACAGCAGCAGUGGUUCAUCCAGCAGUGACGAUUCAUCUACAACUGAGUCUGGAGAGGAGUCAACUAAAGGUUCAGCAUCGGAGUCGUGCAACAUUGCUUUAGAAAUCUCACUUAUCUCUAAUGAAGGAACUGAGGAUAUACGCCAGGACAACACGUCUGCUUCCAAGGAACUGAAAGAGAAACGCAAUUCUUCAUUAAAUCCUCAUGUGCGAAAAGAGGAACUUCACCGAAACAAGAAGGGUCGAAGUAUGGAGCACACAAGAUAUAUCCUUUAUUUGUCAUAUAUACAUAUACAGAUGUACAGUACAAUGCACAGGAACAAAGACUUCUGAACACCUGACAGACAGCAACGACAAACGGAAAUGGAAUUAUUCAGAAGAGACUGAAGUACAACCUCUGGCAAACAAAAUGGAUGAGCGGAGACUGUGCACCACAACACGUGGGUGAAUGGCGGAGUGUAACAUCAUGAUUCAGACGUGGUUGAACUGUAACAGCGCGGUGGAGCUGGAUGUUCGAAGCAUGUUCAGAGCGGACAGAGUGGCAGUAAACUCCGGCGCUGGUUCCUGAUUCAGGACAACCACCUUAUGUACAAGAAGAAAUCCAGGAAUAGCAUGGUGGUCAUAGCGGAUUUACGCCAGUGCACGGCCAAACACUACCAGACGACUCCAUCACUUCCCGAUCAGAUGAGGUGG
Molecule: RNA transcript, 2586 nt
Organism: Trichomycterus rosablanca
Lineage: Eukaryota; Metazoa; Chordata; Actinopteri; Siluriformes; Trichomycteridae
Gene name: zinc finger CCHC domain-containing protein 3-like
Exons: 7
Source: RefSeq, a predicted model, not a curated record